Molecule: unclassified non-coding RNA, 352 nt
Filed under: soil metagenome
Description: partial contains 5.8S ribosomal RNA, internal transcribed spacer 2, and large subunit ribosomal RNA
Rfam family: 5.8S ribosomal RNA (bases 1-120)
Source: RNAcentral
GAUGAAGAACGUAGCGAAAUGCGAUAAGUAAUGUGAAUUGCAGAAUUCAGUGAAUCAUCGAAUCUUUGAACGCACAUUGCGCCCGCCAGUAUUCUGGCGGGCAUGCCUGUCCGAGCGUCAUUUCAACCCUCGAACCCCUCCGGGGGGUCGGCGUUGGGGAUCGGCCCUUUCACCGGGUGCCGGCCCCUAAAUACAGUGGCGGUCUCGCCGCAGCCUCUCAUGCGCAGUAGUUUGCACACUCGCACCGGGAGCGCGGCGCGUCCACGUCCGUAAAACACCCCAACUUCUGAAAUGUUGGCCUCGGAUCAGGUAGGAAUACCCGCUGAACUUAAGCAUAUCAAUAAGCGGAGGA